RNAcentral lists this ribosomal RNA (251 nucleotides) under uncultured bacterium. RNAcentral describes it as "partial 16S ribosomal RNA". It matches the Rfam family "Bacterial small subunit ribosomal RNA", at positions 337 to 605 of the family's 1533-position model. The record is from RNAcentral.
ACCUACGGGGCGCAGCAGUGGGGAAUAUUGCACAAUGGGGGAAACCCUGAUGCAGCGACGCCGCGUGAGUGAAGAAGUAUCUCGGUAUGUAAAGCUCUAUCAGCAGGAAAGAUAAUGACGGUACCUGACUAAGAAGCCCCGGCUAACUACGUGCCAGCAGCCGCGGUAAUACGUAGGGGGCAAGCGUUAUCCGGAUUUAUUGGGUUUAAAGGGUGCGCAGGCGGCGAGUUAAGUCAGCGGUAAAAUUUGGG